AUUAAACAUCCUUCACAAGAGCGUAUGGACCCACCAAAAAAUAAAAACACAAACUAGAGGAGUUCCUUACAGCAUUGAAAAAUGGUGGAGUUCAGCUGGUGGUAGUUGUGAUUCCUGAUAAUGGAGAUCACUAUGCUGAGGUGAAGCAACUAGCAGAAUUGAAUGUUGGAAUAUUGACUCAGUGUGUGAAGGGAAGAACAAUGCAACUUAUGAAUCCUGCCACAUGUUCGAAUAUUCUGUUGAAAGCCAACACUAAGCUGGAUGGUGUAAACCAAAUUUUCGCUAAAAUAUCAAGAGUACGGAGAAUGUGAGUCCAAAGGAAGGUGUUUGGAGCCCAGAAGCACUCUUUAGUAGUAUGGCAUUGACUUCGUGGGCUAUCCUGAAAAUAGAUACAUGAACAACAGCAGAAGAUGUGAGGCCACCAUGUUUGAAAAACCCUGUCAUGAUAGUAGGAGCUGAUGUGACCCAUCCAUCAGCUGACCAGACUGACAUUCCUUCAGUUGCUGCGGUGAGUAUUUUGUGCUGUGAAGUUGUUUACAGUUUUAAUGUUGUAAUUUUUGUAAAUAUUUUUAAUUUAUCUGAUUUCUGUACUUCUUAUUGUCUACUUCAGAAACUAUUACCAUAUCGUAAUAUUUUCACAACACAUGUAUAUGUGUGUGUGUGUGUUAAUGUCAUAGACGUCUUCAGAUUCCCAGCUGCCGUUUUCUCCAUCCAUCGUCUUUCUCCUGUUUCUUUUUGCCAUUUCAUCCUGGGUUCCUUGCAUCCAUUCCACUCUUGGUUUUACUCUAUUAUUCCUUUCUGGUGGCAUCUGCUUUAGCACUUGUUUAGGCCAUCUGUUAUCUGCUAUAUAAUCAAGAUAAAUAAAACAGCCAUUUUUUCAUUUGCCUUAUUAUUA
Molecule: RNA transcript, 895 nt
Organism: Zootermopsis nevadensis
Lineage: Eukaryota; Metazoa; Arthropoda; Insecta; Blattodea; Termopsidae
Gene name: protein argonaute-2-like
Source: RefSeq, a predicted model, not a curated record